CAGGCUUAACACAUGCAAGUCGAGGGGCAGCAUGGUCUUAUCUUGCUAAGGCCGAUGGCGACCGGCGCACGGGUGAGUAACACGUAUCCAACCUGCCGUCUACUCUUGGACAGCCUUCUGAAAGGAAGAUUAAUACAAGAUGGCAUCAUGAGUCCGCAUGUUCACAUGAUUAAAGGUAUUCCGGUAGACGAUGGGGAUGCGUUCCAUUAGAUAGUAGGCGGGGUAACGGCCCACCUAGUCUUCGAUGGAUAGGGGUUCUGAGAGGAAGGUCCCCCACAUUGGAACUGAGACACGGUCCAAACUCCUACGGGAGGCAGCAGUGAGGAAUAUUGGUCAAUGGGCGAGAGCCUGAACCAGCCAAGUAGCGUGAAGGAUGACUGCCCUAUGGGUUGUAAACUUCUUUUAUAAAGGAAUAAAGUCGGGUAUGGAUACCCGUUUGCAUGUACUUUAUGAAUAAGGAUCGGCUAACUCCGUGCCAGCAGCCGCGGUAAUACGGAGGAUCCGAGCGUUAUCCGGAUUUAUUGGGUUUAAAGGGAGCGUAGAUGGAUGUUUAAGUCAGUUGUGAAAGUUUGCGGCUCAACCGUAAAAUUGCAGUUGAUACUGGAUAUCUUGAGUGCAGUUGAGGCAGGCGGAAUUCGUGGUGUAGCGGUGAAAUGCUUAGAUAUCACGAAGAACUCCGAUUGCGAAGGCAGCCUGCUAAGCUGCAACUGACAUUGAGGCUCGAAAGUGUGGGUAUCAAACAGGAUUAGAUACCCUGGUAGUCCACACGGUAAACGAUGAAUACUCGCUGUUUGCGAUAUACUGCAAGCGGCCAAGCGAAAGCGUUAAGUAUUCCACCUGGGGAGUACGCCGGCAACGGUGAAACUCAAAGGAAUUGACGGGGGCCCGCACAAGCGGAGGAACAUGUGGUUUAAUUCGAUGAUACGCGAGGAACCUUACCCGGGCUUAAAUUGCAGAUGAAUUACGGUGAAAGCCGUAAGCCGCAAGGCAUCUGUGAAGGUGCUGCAUGGUUGUCGUCAGCUCGUGCCGUGAGGUGUCGGCUUAAGUGCCAUAACGAGCGCAACCCUUGUUGUCAGUUACUAACAGGUUCCGCUGAGGACUCUGACAAGACUGCCAUCGUAAGAUGUGAGGAAGGUGGGGAUGACGUCAAAUCAGCACGGCCCUUACGUCCGGGGCUACACACGUGCUACAAUGGGGGGUACAGAGGGCCGCUACCACGCGAGUGGAUGCCAAUCCCCAAAACCUCUCUCAGUUCGGACUGGAGUCUGCAACCCGACUCCACGAAGCUGGAUUCGCUAGUAAUCGCGCAUCAGCCACGGCGCGGUGAAUACGUUCCCGGGCCUUGUACACACCGCCCGUCAAGCCAUGGGAGCCGGGGGUACCUGAAGUGCGUAACCGCGAGGAGCGCCCUAGGGUAAAACUGGUGACUGG
RNAcentral lists this ribosomal RNA (1431 nucleotides) under uncultured bacterium. RNAcentral's name for it is "16S ribosomal RNA". It matches the Rfam family "Bacterial small subunit ribosomal RNA". The record is from RNAcentral.